UCACUGCAUAGUUCUCAAAUAUCGCUCCAAACGAACUUAUCUGUAUCAACGGCACUUUGUACACUUGCGAAAACGCCAAAGCUGGUCGAACACAAGCCUCGACCAGCAAAAGAUCGAAAUGCUGCUUCCCUUUGAUGAUCUCUUUCACUUCUUUAUUUUGCAAUUGAAGGUCCACUAAGUCGAUCAACAUUUCUGAGGCAACUCUCAUCUGAGUGAUCAGAUCUUCCUUCUUUCCUUUAGCUGAUUCCAUGAACACCUGCCAAGCCUGGUACGAUAGAUCGUGGACGUCUAUUUCUGUUAAGUUCGCUGGUGUUUCACCUUUCUUGAACAUUGGGUCUGGUGUCAUGACUACCACUUCGUGGCCACGCUUGAUGAGUUCCAAGGUGAUCGGUCGGAAGGUGAUCUGAUGGCUGAUGGAA
Spodoptera frugiperda (fall armyworm) is the source of this 419-nucleotide long non-coding RNA. RefSeq lists it as uncharacterized. The transcript is spliced from 3 exons. NCBI's taxonomy places the organism in Eukaryota, Metazoa, Arthropoda, Insecta, Lepidoptera, Noctuidae. The record is from RefSeq and is a predicted model, not a curated record.